CGAAAGGCUUUGGAUCCCAAACGGUGCAACUAUAGACGCACAAAUGACAACGCUUCAUGGUCAUGGCUGGCAAAGAAAAAUAUCAAAACACAAAGAAUUUAGGAUUUCGAGUAUGGGUUCGACUGGAAGAAAUGGUCUUUUGCUGAAUAGAGGCAGAAGCCUCGGCUAGCACCAAACUUGUUUGUUGUUACCAGGGUAGUUAUUGGGUUCGGUCGGGUCCAAGGGCAAUUUGUGACGCCUUUCUCGACAACACUGUCAUGAGUAAGUAUCUACAUUGCCAUCGGUGGGCUAACAUGGACUGCUAAUGCAGUUUGCUGAUUUUCUCGACCAACAACUAGAGGUGUUAUUUGGGAUAUGAGUACCGCUCAUUGCCCUGAUGCUUGGUGCUGUGCAGGAAGUGGCAUGGUUGCCCAUGCUUUGCCAGUUUCAGAUUGAUGAUCUUCAUUCUUGAAGCCAUGAGAUGUGCAAUCUGGUUACAUGACUUUCUUGUCAGUGAUUACAAAGAUUUACAUGUCUGAUUGAGAGAUGCUCUUACCUAUAGUAUACUAGCAUACAGUAAAGCAGCUGCUGUUUCUAUAUGCUAGCAGAAUAUUGAGUAUGUGGUCACUCUUAAGCAGUCACAUUGAGGCUUUCAUAUCUUUACUCAGCUGCAGAACACCUCAAAGCCACAAUAGGCUGGUUUGCAAGCAAAGUUAUCCUCUGUGGGACAUCCAUUAAAAAUUGGAGCUUUACAAGGUGAUAGCAAAAAGUAGAGAAACAGUCCUGAUUUUUGCUGACAAUCUGCACCUCUGACCCUUUUGAACAGAACUCAAGUUAUCAUUUGAAAUCACGUAUGGCUAAAGAUGAAAGGAAAAAACGACUGCAUCAGAUGCAAGCCUAAACUUCACAGGUAUGUCUUUGGCCAACCCUGGCUGCUACAGUCUUCAACUAAGCACAUAGCCUCCAUUAGUGGAAAAGGAAGAGCAUUAGAAGCAGUGGCUACAGUUAAUGGUAGUAGUACUUUUUAUCUGCAAACUGUUUUAGAGCUGGUAAGUGAUGCUAGAAAAAAAUUUGAGGAGCAUGAUUACGCCUUUGAGGCAAUGGCUGAAUUAUCGAUGUAGUUUGUGUUGAGACUUUGGUUGAAUAUACUGUUAAAGCAUCUUAUGAGAACUCCAUUUGGUCUCUAAUUGGAUUGCCUUUUGAUCUGUGUUCAUGUAAUAAUGCACUAGUUUAGCAACCCCUCUCUAGAACCAGUUCCAGAAUCUAAGCAACAUUAAAAAAAAGUUGGAACGACCAUUGCAAUUGGCUGAGUAGUAGAAGAAUGGAUAGAUGCUUGGGCCCAUUCCAUUCCCCAAGGGUUUCUACAUCCACGUUAGUUGCAUCAUUGCAUUUGCUGACUUGGUUCCUGUCCUGUUAUUUUGACUGUACUAAUGGUGAUCCCGGCACAUGCUGUCGGGCUAGCUGGGAAAUGGUAAGUAAAAAAUACUUAUACCAAGGAAAUUUGGAAUGCAUUUGUAUACAAGCACUUCCCAACUUCCUCAGUGUAAGCCUACCUAUGAAGCAGCACUCAUGUAAGAUGAACA
This is a long non-coding RNA of Theobroma umbraticum, 1562 nucleotides long. RefSeq lists it as uncharacterized. The record is from RefSeq and is a predicted model, not a curated record. Lineage: Eukaryota; Viridiplantae; Streptophyta; Magnoliopsida; Malvales; Malvaceae.